Molecule: ribosomal RNA, 322 nt
Filed under: Polyplax spinulosa (spined rat louse)
Lineage: Eukaryota; Metazoa; Arthropoda; Insecta; Psocodea; Polyplacidae
Description: partial large subunit ribosomal RNA
Rfam family: Archaeal large subunit ribosomal RNA
Source: RNAcentral
AGCAUAAUAAUUUGCCUUUUAAUUGAAGGCUAGUAUGAAAGGGUCAACCGAGACUCAACUGUCUCUCCUUAAAGAGAGAGAAUUUAAAUUUUGAGUGAAAAUGCUCAAAUAGCAUAGAGGGACGAGAAGACCCUUAGAUCUUUCUUGAAGCUAGUCGUUAGCUUAAGGUUACCUGGGAGGGGGCUAAUCCAUAAACUUUAGAUUACUAUAAAGGAAAUUAAUUCGAAUUUGUAGGUCCUUAUUGGAUGAAAGAGUAGAUACCUAAGGGAUAACAGCGCUAUUUUCUUUUUUUAGAUCUUUUAAUAUAAAGAAGCUUGCGACC